UCUGCGGCCUAUCAGGUAGUAGUGGGUGUAGCGUACCUACUAGCCUAUGACGGGUACGGGUUGUGAGAGCAAGAGCCCGGAGAUGGAUUCUGAGACACGAAUCCAGGCCCUACGGGGUGCAGCAGGCGCGAAAACUUUACAAUGCUGGCAACAGCGAUAAGGGAACCUCGAGUGCCAGGUUACAAAUCUGGCUGUCGAGAUGCCUAAAAAGCAUUUCAUAGCAAGGGCCGGGCAAGACCGGUGCCAGCCGCCGCGGUAACACCGGCGGCUCGAGUGGUAACCGUUAUUAUUGGGUCUAAAGGGUCUGUAGCCGGCCGGAUAAGUCUCUUGAGAAAUCUGGCAGCUUAACUGUCAGGCUUUCAGGAGAUACUGUCUGGCUCGAGGCCGGGAGAGGUGAGAGGUACUUCAGGGGUAGGGGUGAAAUCUUGUAAUCCUUGAAGGACCACCAGUGGCGAAGGCGUCUCACCAGAACGGACCUGACGGCAAGGGACGAAAGCUAGGGGCACGAACCGGAUUAGAUACCCGGGUAGUCCUAGCCGUAAACGAUACUCGCUAGGUGUCGGCCACGGUGCGACCGUUGUCGGUGCCGUAGGGAAGCCGUGAAGCGAGC
This 610-nucleotide ribosomal RNA is filed under the name uncultured archaeon. RNAcentral's name for it is "bacterial SSU rRNA". It matches the Rfam family "Archaeal small subunit ribosomal RNA", at positions 214 to 824 of the family's 1478-position model. The record is from RNAcentral.